CUGAAGUUAAGCAUCAUUGGGCGCGGUCAGUACUUGGGUGGGUGACCACCUGGGAACACUGCGUGCCGUU
Non-coding RNA from Caerostris darwini, 70 nucleotides. The record is from the annotation of a GenBank genome assembly. Lineage: Eukaryota; Metazoa; Arthropoda; Arachnida; Araneae; Araneidae.